Long non-coding RNA from Clupea harengus (Atlantic herring), 512 nucleotides. Lineage: Eukaryota; Metazoa; Chordata; Actinopteri; Clupeiformes; Clupeidae. The record is from Ensembl.
AGAGGAAAGAGAGAGGAAAGGAGAGAAGGCAUAGGAAAGUGCAGAGGAGGAACAAGAAGAGGGGAAAAGAACAAAAAGAAGAAGAGGUCAAAAAAUAAGAGGAAAGGAGAGGAGAUGGAAAGGACACAGAGAGGAUGUGACUGGGAUAUACAAGCAUCCGUCGUUCCUGUUGGGGAACUUUAUUUGAGGCUUUCACUAUGCCCAGCAGUCAGAGGCUCUAUUGUAUUGGAAAGGCAGUCAGGCGGGAAUGAAUGGAGCCCCUUUAAGAUGAAGGUAAAUGGGCUGGGUUAUGGGAGGUGUGGAACAUCUUGCAAAAGAUUGCGUGUGUGGUUGCCUCAUUUCCCUCACCUUCUCUGUCUUUGCAGUGUACGUGAUAAUGGAUACUGGAUCCCAAAUGUUCCUCUUCUGAUAUCCUACACAAUAAUGCACACUAUGCUGCAGCCGAAGACCUUACUGACCAACCCAGGAGGUAUAACGGUCAGCUGGAAAGUCCAUCUUUGCUCUGAACACAU